GCAAGGGUACUGGAGAGACAAUUGACGAUAAGGAUCGUUGUCCUCAAUGCAAAGGUAAAAAAGUGGUACCAGAGAAGAAAGUCAUUGAAGUCCAUGUUGAAAAAGGAAUGCAAAAUGGACAGAAAAUUACAUUCCCUGGCGAGGCUGAUGAAGCGCCUGAUACAGUUACUGGAGAUGUGGUUUUCGUUCUCCAACAGAAAGAUCACCCGAAGUUCAAGAGGAAGGGUGACGACCUGUUUGUUGAUCACACAUUGACCUUAACUGAGGCACUGUGUGGUUUCCAGUUCAUAUUGGGACACUUGGAUGGCAGACGGCUCCUCAUAAAGUCAAAUCCUGGAGAAGUUGUUAAACCUGAUCAAUUCAAGGCGAUCAAUGACGAAGGAAUGCCAGUUUACCAGAGGCCAUUCAUGAAGGGU
Molecule: unclassified non-coding RNA, 416 nt
Filed under: Hevea brasiliensis (rubber tree)
Lineage: Eukaryota; Viridiplantae; Streptophyta; Magnoliopsida; Malpighiales; Euphorbiaceae
Source: RNAcentral